This 63-nucleotide small RNA is filed under the name Klebsiella pneumoniae. RNAcentral describes it as "partial RtT sRNA". It matches the Rfam family "RtT RNA", at positions 1 to 63 of the family's 130-position model. Rfam says of the family: This family represents a bacterial cis-regulatory element known as RtT RNA. The exact function of RtT is unknown although it is thought that it may be involved in changing the cellular response in relation to amino acid starvation. The record is from RNAcentral. Lineage: Bacteria; Pseudomonadati; Pseudomonadota; Gammaproteobacteria; Enterobacterales; Enterobacteriaceae.
UAUUCUGCCCCAUGGGGAAGGAUGAGAAGCUUCGACUAAGGUUCGACUCGAGCGAAGCGAGAG